This 90-nucleotide transfer RNA is filed under the name Caldifarciminota bacterium. RNAcentral's name for it is "tRNA-Ser". It matches the Rfam family "tRNA". From Rfam's summary of the family: Transfer RNA (tRNA) molecules are approximately 80 nucleotides in length. Their secondary structure includes four short double-helical elements and three loops (D, anti-codon, and T loops). Lineage: Bacteria; Pseudomonadati; Caldifarciminota. RNAcentral also lists the same sequence under 1 other name. The record is from RNAcentral.
GGAGAGGUGCCCGAGCGGCCGAAGGGGCACGAUUGGAAAUCGUGCGAGGGGUUAAAAGCCCCUCCGCGGGUUCGAAUCCCGCCCUCUCCG